CAGUGAUUCGCCCGCAGCGUAAUAAUUUUCACGGCCUCGAGGCUUGGCCACGUGUGCAGUUGCACGGUACAUCUGACGAGAUUUAAUCAGCGUACAACGCCACGUAAAUAACUUAUCGCUGGUAACAAUAAUGAAUUUUCGACAGUUUCAUCGUCCGUGGAUAGCAACGUCGAUCGAACAUAGUGGACACGGAUGAGCUUCCACCAUCAAAUCGAGAUUACUCUGUUUCGUUCUCGUACUGCAAUUUCGAAUUUGAUAGUUAGCUGUGUAAUUGGGUUUUAACGUACGAAUGUACUGCAUACAAGUACCUGUAAUCACCAUCGGUUUAAAAGUUAUUGUACAAUUAUUGAGAUUUAAUUUUUAAAAAAUAGUUAUCGAUAGAGCUAUCUUUCUGGUACUCUGUACAUUGAAAUUACUGUACUUCCAAAUUUUUAUAUUUUCCGACUUCUACAAACAAAUUACUUGUACAAACAAACGUCUUGUUACGAUUAUACUCCUUGCUUGAAAAUUCGCGUAUUUCAAAUUCUUGCAAUUUUACAGUUUCUGUUUGGUUGGCAACCAAGUGAUUGCGGAUUUUGUCAUUAGGUGGCAUUGAGAAAAUCCGCAAUCACUUAGUUGCCAGCUUAGUUAACCAAUAUAUUCCAAAGAACAACGAUAGUGUUCCUCGCCUUUUACGUAGGCGUAUUUUCGCUUCGACGUUACAAAACUUCUCCAACGUCCCAAUUUACCAGGCGACCAACUUUCCCCCUUUUUUAAACCUAUCAUCUAUAUAAAUAAGGUUCUUUGUAACAAAGCUUCCGUCAACCUUGCCAAUAAUCCAGCACGACGUUCAAAUUUUUUACAAAUUUCUUCCCACCUCCUCGCUUACCUCUAAAAUCAAUUUUUUCUCUCAGACAACCCAUCGCAGACUGCGUAAUCGCUGAAACGAAAGAACGCGAUCGAUCUACUCUAAAUAAUAGCCCAAACAGUAGCGAAUCCUCUGCUAUAUCCGAAAACAAUCUAAGAAACGCAGACAAUUUAGUGAGGGGGAACCAACUGGAGAGUAAACUUCAGACGAUUGUUCGUUUCGUAUAGAGGAGAGUGCAAUAGAUGAAGGGAAUAAAAAUCGAAACGCAAGUAUCCAAAUAGUCGGGGAACGGGACAAAAGUAUCCAUUAGCGGACUACAGAAGCCCUUGGUGGGAGCGGGGGAACAAAAGGGCGAAGGGGAUGGCGAGGCAGUGUAACCGCAGCAGUUGCAGGGCUAAAAGCAACAGGCAGCCAAUCAAUAAUCGCCCUUUUGCCUGGGCUGCGACUUUACCAACUUUGCAACGCGACAUUGUACCUACGAUGAUUGCCACCGUUCGAGCAAUCCAUGGCGUUCUCGAGAAUUUUUAAAGGAACUGGAAUAUUUCUGAUGAAGUUGAACGACGAGUUUUUAAGGGAACAACGAGGGAAAAAUUUAAAAUUUGAAAGAAUUUUUGGUAAUUGAUCGAAGAAGAGGGAAUAGUGCACGGUGAACGACGAUUUUUAUUAAGACAGUGGUAGGGAAGAUUGUUCAAGUUGGGAGAAUUUGUUGGAAUUUGUUUGGAACAGGUUCUCACAGUUGCAGUGGCAAGGGCAAAAGGAACGAGCGAUUAAGAAAGUUGGUUAAACUGAGCCAUGAGGGACGCAGGGUACGGCGAAUUGCAGUUGCACCGUUUCGACUAAAACGCGAUUGGGACUCGAUGACACGGCCGGCGUGCUAUCGAUUUUAGGUUAUGUCCAAUGAAACGCGUCCAAUAUAAAUUCUCACGAUAGCGCACCACUCGAAACAGCCUCCGUGACGUUACUAGUCAACUGGCAGAUAUUUAUAGGGAAACAACUAUGAGAAGAAGUUGAGAAUGUUGUGGCUUGAUAUAAGCAGCGAAAUAUAAGCAGAAAAACAAAUUUUAAUAUAUAACAAGGUAAAAACGUUACGACUUAUUUCAUGUUUUUGUUAGAACCAUCAAAUAGGUUAAGAUCAUUUAUGUCUUUAAAAUGAUUCAUAAAAUCGGUAAUUUCGUAAAUUUUAUUUGAAUAAAUUAUUGCUAUAUAUAACAAAUAACGAAUAAAGGAGGCACGUAGUCAAGAUUUCAUUGAAUCUACAGGAUUUUAUAAUAAUUUACCGUUGCGUUCAUAAAUGGGUCAAAUUUUGUAAUUGGUGAAUAAAUCAAAUAAAAUCCUUAAGCACAAAUAA
This is a long non-coding RNA of Bombus terrestris (buff-tailed bumblebee), 2195 nucleotides long. RefSeq lists it as uncharacterized. NCBI's taxonomy places the organism in Eukaryota, Metazoa, Arthropoda, Insecta, Hymenoptera, Apidae. The record is from RefSeq and is a predicted model, not a curated record. The transcript has 2 exons.